GAUGAAGAACGUAGCGAAAUGCGAUAAGUAAUGUGAAUUGCAGAAUCCAGUGAAUCAUCGAAUCUUUGAACGCACAUUGCGCCCGCCAGCAUUCUGGCGGGCAUGCCUGUUCGAGCGUCAUUUCAACCCUCGACCUCCCUUUGGGGAAGUCGGCGUUGGGGACCGGCAGCACACCGCCGGCCCUGAAAUGGAGUGGCGGCCCGUCCGCGGCGACCUCUGCGUAGUAAUCCAACUCGCACCGCAACCCCGACGCGGCCACGCCGUAAAACACCCAACUUCUGAACGUUGACCUCGAAUCAGGUAGGACUACCCGCUGAACUUAAGCAUAUCAAUAAGCGGAGGA
This 343-nucleotide unclassified non-coding RNA is filed under the name soil metagenome. RNAcentral describes it as "partial contains 5.8S ribosomal RNA, internal transcribed spacer 2, and large subunit ribosomal RNA". The stretch from base 1 to 120 matches the Rfam family "5.8S ribosomal RNA", at positions 35 to 154 of the family's 154-position model. The record is from RNAcentral.